UGCCACAGGCAUCAAGGGGUCCGAAAGGCUCCUGAGUGCACUUGGCUGGGACUAAGUAAGUCCCGGAGGCUCAAGGAAAGGUAAGGGGUAAAAACCCUUACUAAGUACUUGAGAUCUAGAAAGUAACAGGGGUAUUGAUAAAGCUCGGUACCUCUGUGAAAUCUGGAAGAAUCUGGGAUGAAAGGUCUCAGAGGGUGCAAGGGAGAGGCUGAGUAGGGUCCGUUGAGCCUGUGGCA
Molecule: non-coding RNA, 236 nt
Filed under: Dictyoglomus turgidum DSM 6724
Lineage: Bacteria; Pseudomonadati; Dictyoglomota; Dictyoglomia; Dictyoglomales; Dictyoglomaceae
Description: Dictyoglomi-1 RNA
Rfam family: Dictyoglomi-1 RNA
Source: Rfam by way of RNAcentral